RNAcentral lists this ribosomal RNA (406 nucleotides) under uncultured bacterium. RNAcentral describes it as "partial 16S ribosomal RNA". It matches the Rfam family "Bacterial small subunit ribosomal RNA", at positions 28 to 526 of the family's 1533-position model. The record is from RNAcentral.
GACGAACGCUGGCGGCGUGCCUAAUACAUGCAAGUCGAACGAGUGGCUGACGGGUGAGCAACACGUGGGAACCUACCCCUCACAGGGGGAUAACACUUGGCAACAGGUGCUAAUACCGCAUAUUGAUGGAUGGACCCGCGGUGCAUUAGCUAGUAGGUGGGGUAAAGGCUCACAUAGGCGACGAUCUCUAGCUGGUCUUAGAGGAUGAUCAGCCACACUGGGACUGAGAAACGGCCCAGAAUCCUACGGGAGGCAGCAGUGGGGAAUAUUGCACAAUGGGCGAAAGCCGGAUGCAGCCAUGCCGCGUGUAUGAAGAAGGCCUUAGGGUUGUAAAGUACUUUCAGCGGGGAGGCGUUACCCGCAGAAGAAGCACCGGCUAACUCCGUGCCAGCAGCCGCGGUAAUUC